CUCUCCCCAGCUGGAGGCUAUGUGUUACCCUUUGAAGAGCAGGAGGCCAGAAAGCAAUACCUCCAUAAGAUUCUAUAACAUUUUUAGCAAGGUAAGGGGCCAAUGAUAUCCUGCCUAGGGUGUGGUGAUACAGAGCCUAGGGCUGGACUUUCACUCAAAAGACAGCUGCUCCUUGCAUGGCUUCCCUGGAGGGAAGGAGGAAUGAGAUCUCCCAUGAGAUUCAGUCCUCAAGGACCUCCCCUUUUGAGGGUCAUUAUUCCUGGAACCUCUCUGACAAGCUGGGGUGGCCUUGCCUGAGGUCCACUGUCAGAAAAGAAUGCAGCACCGACUCCAGCAUGAAGAGGAGUCUGGCCCAGUGGGCUGAGUCUGGGCCAGUUUAGGCCCAGUGUGUUUGAGUCUGGAAGCCCCUGAAAACCUGAAGCACUGACUGAGCUUCUGACAUGUGACUUGGAAACAGGAAUGUGGGGCACCACUUUGGUCUGUUCAGUAGUCUGGUCCAGAAGGAAAACCAACCGGUGGAGUAGAAAGCAUUCAGAAAACCGCAUUGGAAUCUGUUUAACAGUGACAGUGUGGUGACCCCUGUAGGGGCCCUGGUGAGCUCUGUCCUGGAGGCGGACCACUCUGGACAAGGCAAGCCGCAAGUCUCAGUUUACGCCUAGAAAAGGAUCUUCAAGCAGGAGAGAUGAGGUUGCUUGAAAAACUGGGCUCAUGGAAAGUUAUACUGUACUUGGAAAAAUAAAAGCUAUCUUCUGGGAUAUUUGAAAGAACACCAGACAUCUGUCGGUACCAGUGUCCUAUUGCUGCUUUAAUAGAGGACCACAAAUGGAGCGGCUUACAACACAAACGUAUUAUUCUGCACUUCUGGAGAUCAGAAGCCUGAUACCAGUCUUGCUGGGCUAGAGUCAGGAUGUCAGCAAACCUGGCUCCUCUGGGAUGCUCCAGGAAGGAAUCUGUUUCCUUGCCUUUUCAGCUUUGUAGAGGCUUCCUACAUUCCUUGGCAAGGCCCCUUCCUGGAGCUCUCCCUCAGCUUUCAUUGUCCCAUCUGUCUCACUGACUCUCCUUCCCUCUUCCGGUGAAAAGACUCUCACAAUUGCACUGGGCCACCAGACUGCCCCGGGGUGAUCCCUUCAUCAGAAGAUUCCUCUAUAUCAGGCACAUCCACUAGGCCCCUUUCACCAUGUGAGGUAACAUCUUCACAGGCUCUGGGGGUUAGGUGUAGACAUUGGGAGAUAAUUAUCCUAUCUACUAUAGUCUCCAUCUUCUAAUCUUCUUCAGCUUUUGUUUCUGUCCACUCAAGCCAUACCCUGUUGUAAAUGUUUUACAGGCAUUAACUCCUUUCAUCUUCAUGAUCACUCUGGAAGAGGGGUUUGUUAUUACAGAUCAGGAAACUGAGGCCAAAAGAUUAAACACUGCUUGCCUGGGGCCACUAAUUUAGUUUUCAAGCCUAGGCAGAAUGGCAUCUGAGCCACACAAGAUCAGACUUUGUCCUUGAAAAUGUUUACUGUCUUUUCUAUUUUUAAUUAUAAAAGUAACACAAUGUACAGAUG
Molecule: long non-coding RNA, 1547 nt
Organism: Heterocephalus glaber (naked mole-rat)
Lineage: Eukaryota; Metazoa; Chordata; Mammalia; Rodentia; Bathyergidae
Source: Ensembl